UGAACGCUGGCGGCAGGCCUAACACGUGCAAGUCGAGCGGAUGAAAGGAGCUUGCUCCUGGAUUCAGCGGCGGACGGGUGAGUAAUGCCUAGGAAUCUGCCUGGUAGUGGGGGACAACGUUUCGAAAGGAACGCUAAUACCGCAUACGUCCUACGGGAGAAAGCAGGGGACCUUCGGACCUUGCGCUAUCAGAUGAGCCUAGGUCGGAUUAGCUAGUUGGUGAGGUAAUGGCUCACCAAGGCGACGAUCCGUAACUGGUCUGAGAGGAUGAUCAGUCACACUGGAACUGAGACACGGUCCAGACUCCUACGGGAGGCAGCAGUGGGGAAUAUUGGACAAUGGGCGAAAGCCUGAUCCAGCCAUGCCGCGUGUGUGAAGAAGGUCUUCGGAUUGUAAAGCACUUUAAGUUGGGAGGAAGGGUUGUAGAUUAAUACUCUGCAAUUUUGACGUUACCGACAGAAUAAGCACCGGCUAACUCUGUGCCAGCC
This 488-nucleotide ribosomal RNA is filed under the name uncultured bacterium. RNAcentral describes it as "bacterial SSU rRNA". It matches the Rfam family "Bacterial small subunit ribosomal RNA", at positions 30 to 513 of the family's 1533-position model. The record is from RNAcentral.